Molecule: non-coding RNA, 832 nt
Organism: Danio rerio (zebrafish)
Lineage: Eukaryota; Metazoa; Chordata; Actinopteri; Cypriniformes; Danionidae
Source: Ensembl
ACUGAUAGGCUAUUUAAUUUUGCUGAAACAGUCAUAGCACAGCAUGACGUUUUCACGAUGUUUUAUGGCUUUAUAAAAGUGGGAACACACUAAAAAUAAAUCCCGGAGAAUCUCCAGCUACUGUACGACAACAACCGCAAAAAAUUAGAGGGACGAAAACCAAACGAAGACAAGAUGAAGGACUAGAAGGACAAAAGGAUGGACGGGAAAGAUGUGGAUAUAGAUGGAUAGAGGAUUAACAAAGUGAUGGAUGGACGGACGGACAGGCGGGCGGGCGGGCUUAUAGAUGGACGGAUGGACGGACAGACAGACCCUUGGAUGGAUUAAUAAAUGGAUGAAAGGACAGACAGACAGAUUUACAGACAGUUUUAUACCCAUGAGUGCACGUACACUCAAAUUUGUGCCAGACUCCAAGAAAGAUACAUUUCUGGUGGGAAAAAAAGAUCUUGUUGUGGUUUUCUAACUGCUGAGUAGGAGUGCUGCAGUGUGUCAGGCUUUGGCCUUGACCAUACCAAACUGCUUCUCUCUGCAUUUUACAAAACCUGUUGCUCACCAUCAUGAAGUUCAUUCAAAAUGUCCAUCACAAUAGACAGACAGACAGACAGACAGACAGACAGACAGACAGACAGACAGACAGACAGAUAGAUAGAUAGAUAGAUAGAUAGAUAGAUAGAUAGAUAGAUAGAUAGAUAGAUAGAUAGAUAGAUAGAUAGAUAGAUAGAUAGAUAGAUAGAUAGACCUGCGGAUGGAUUAAUAGUUGAAUGAAAGAACAGACAGACAGAAAGACAGAGGACGGACAGAUAGAUAGACAGACAGACAGACCGACCGACCC